UCCAGGAGAGGAUCAGCCAUCAUUCUGUGGGCGUCGGACGUCGUUGCAGGUCUUAAUUAAUGCAUGGAGGGGUUUCAUGGGAGAAGGCUGCAGCAGCGGAGGUUUUUGCCAGUGAAAACAAAGGAAGGUAAGAUAUGGUUUGGACAAAUGGAUGGUGCAUUCUUAUUGGGUGAUGCAGGAAACUAAACCAAAUUGUCUGUUCUUAAAUUUUUCCAUGCCAUAUGGCAGUACACUGUAUAUGUCUGUGUAGUUUCUCAUUCAUCCAGGUCAUGGUUAUCCAAAGUUGUUUAAAUCAAUCCAAUUGGACUUUAAAAAGGUUCCUUGAAGACGUUUCACCUCUCAUCCAAGAGGCUUCUUCAGUUCUGGUGGUGGUUGAUGUUGCAAAGGGAAAACUUUCUUGGUUUUAUAAGCUGGAAAGAGGGAGUGCACUAAAAUCAAUGGAACAGUUUUCCUUGGAGUGUUCCUGCUGUAAAUCUAAGGUGUAAAGGGGAUGGAUUUACUGCCGCCCUGCCUGGUGAUCCAGGGCUGCUGUCAUAAUUUGUUCAUCUGAAAGGUUUUAUUCAGAGCUGACGAAACAAUUCCUGGAUCUGUAACCUAUUCCUGUUAAAUUUAUACCCCAUGAUCUAAAACUCAUAUUUCUGUUUCCUUCAACUUCAUAUCCAGAAAUCUUUUAUGCCUUUUGUUGGGCAGGGCCUUUUUCCCUUUUGGAUUUUAUUUUUCCAUUUUUUUCCCUCUUUAACCUCAUAGCAGCUGUGCAACACUGGAGCACUUCCUGUAAAUCAUGUUCAGUGUAUUCACAAGGAAAAAGUAAACAUCUGAGAAAGUGUGUGUGUGCGUGUGUGUGUGUGUAAGACAUUCAUUGCUUGUGUUACCACCCGGCUGCUUACUGCUUGUUUGUCAGGGUCUGAAUACAGACACGUGGGUCGAUUUCAACCUUAGACACAGAGUCGACCCUCAGUAAACCUCGGCCAGCCGGGUCAAGACGUCACAUGACCCUGACAACCUUAAUCAGUCAGCAGUGUAGCAGGCAGCCCAGCCCUCACCCCCAGCACCACCUCCAUCCCGUCUUUCAAAGGGCCACCCACUUAAAAAUAUCAGUCACAUGUUUCCCAUCACUACCACCUUUCCCAAAGGAGUCAAAAAAGUGUGUGUUUAUGUGAGCAUAUAUACAGACAAGUGACAAAUUACAGAAAAAAAUUACGCAAAAUUUCCUAGUAAGGUGUUGGGACACCACAUGCUGCCACUGCAGUGCUAAUUAGCAUUGAUUCUUCAAGUCUGUUUUACUCUACUGGAGGAAUGAACACCACUUGUCUGAAAGGAAAACCUUUCUCUGGUGUUAUAAUGGUGGUAAUAUAGAAUGCCAUCUAAGACAUUAUCCAAACUUAUCCAUUAGUGUUCAACUUGGUGCUUUCUGUUCUGCUAAUUUUUCUUCUUCCCUUCCUCACUCCUCUCUCCUCCGACCCAGAAUCUGACUGAAUUCUGCUGUCUUUGUUCAGAGAUCAGGAUGUCCUUAUCCCUUAAAUCCAUGUCAGAUGAGACGAACAGCGAGAAGAGAUGAAGCUCCUAGAGUGAGCCAACAACAGGUGUAUCCUGUGCUGAAGGUUUUGGGCCAAAUGGCUUUUAGAAAGUGAUUCUCAGUGUUCAUCUGAGCCUCUGGAAGAGCAGAAGUCUGAAAGCAACAUUACAGAAGUACAACUAAACAAAUACAGAACGGUGUCUGUGAUUUUGCAGAAGCAGGAAUAAUAUCACCAACCAAGGCUGCAAUGUUGUUCAUGUUUAUUCACAAAAUGACGUUAUGUGUGUAGAAUUUGAAUCACAGUUAAUAAUGAAUAACUAUUGCAACCUUGUUUCAACAAAGUUGCAACAGCAUUUUGCUGUAACAAGCAUUUUACAGUGUCGGUUGUAAAACGGUUUACGUAGCCAAUGAAAAAUAUCCCUUUGCUUUAAAACCACCAGUUUAUGAUCAGUUGUUGAAACUCUGGCAACAUGGAAAUACUCAAUUAAUCAAAUGUAGCUGAAUUAGUUUCAAUCGUACUCCAUAAAUGUGAGAGUUUAGACUUGCUCUGUGCAAAUAUACUCUAUGUUUGAGCAUUUACAUAUCGAUCAGCCAAAUGAUUUUUCAUUUUUUACUGCUCUGUCACUCAUCAUACAUUUAAUCAAUAUUGUUAUCUAGUCUCACAUAACUAUUUGAUUCUCUAGCACUAACACAGUGCAGUGUAGAAUAGUCUGACUGCACCUCACUAUGCUUCUGCUUUUCUCUUUAAACAGUUGUCUUGAGCUGGGUUAUAGCAGUGUUCAUUCCAAAUCGUGAGGAGGGAAUUGUUUUGGUGGAACUUCUGCAUGCAGGGAGGUGAGCACUGUCAUUUAAAUCAUAAAACAAAACAUAACCAAACUUAUAUCAGGGCCGAUUUAUUCGUUUUCAGCAUGUAGAUUACUGUCCAGAGCUUGUUGUUGUUUCCAAUGGUGAAGGGGAUUUUGAAAACACUAAUGCAUAGAUAAUGAAACAGGGGGUGAAAGCUAUGUGAAAUCCAGCCAGUGGAAGGAUAGUCAGACAAGUUCUUAUCUAACUAGCGACAAGAAAAUAAAUAAACGUAUUUCUUAUAGUCCAAGAUGAGCUUCCAAAGCAAGUUCAGUACUUGGCAUCAAUUCAGCAAGUUUCUUAAAGUGAGUUGGAAGACUGGAGAGGACUCAUCCACAAGAUAUUGUUUUGAUGAAGGCUAUGAAGAGCACUGUGUAACAUGUGGCUCCAGAAUCUGCUUUAUGUAAUAAUUUGGGCUGAGAUAUUAAUUAAACUAUGAAGUCACUCUGUCAGCAUCUGUGUUUCCCCACUCGUAGUUUAGUGACUGAUGCUGGAAGUCGUUUAAUAUAUGUCGAUGUAAACGUGUGACUGCAGAGCCUGCAGGAGUCGGGACAGAAAUAAAGGUAAGGUUUUAUUAGUUGCUGUCAGUCCUGUCACGCCUCAUCUGUAAAGAUGUUAUUUUACUGCAGUGGGACUGUAACACUCUCUCCUUCCCACACAGUGAAGGUCACAGGUCUUUGUUGCUCUUAAACACACACCGAAGACACUUCCCUCACCAGCUUCAUCACUCAAUUAUUAUUAUUUUUGCUUGGUUACUUACACUUACUCUUCAAAUAUCAGCAGCCUGACAAAAGAACUCAUAACACUGAGGCAGACAAAAACUGUUAUUUCAAGCCACACCUUUUAUUAAAGAUCUACCUCUGCAAUGAGCUGAAGACAAUCACAAGUUCAAAUGGUCACAAGUUUCCCUUUUGUAAAAUCUUAUUUCUUCUCAUGAGAGGCGCAGCUCUGAGAACACAAGGCAAAGCAAUAGGCUGAAUGAUUCAUUCAUAUAAACUAAUCAAAAUCUGUUGUUUGUUUGUUGCCUAAAGCUGUAAAAAGGGUUCAAUCUGUCUGGACAGAUGUGAGCUGAAUUAUAGUUUGUUGUAAAUCUGCUUCCUUCUCAUGAGAGGUCAGCUGUGAAAACAAGGUUUACUUCAUGCAAAUUAAUGGACAGCAUGAUUUCAGAUGGAAUCAGGUGUUAAAAGGUGCAUUUAUACAUCCUGAUGUCCAUAUUAUGUCCUGCUGGAGCUCAGUCCUGUUUCCUCCAACAUCACAGCAUCACCACCUCAUAAAUCCUACAACUUUGAAAACUGCUUUCAGACUCUGUUUCAUACUGAAUAGACAGAUGUGAAAUGUUGCACUAUUUAGUAAGCAUCUGUAGCAUCUGACAGCAGCCAGAUCCAUACUGCAGAGGGGCGUAUCGUAAAUUACACAACUGGCACAGCAGCAUAAAUGUCUAUAGGAUAACCUCUGACAAUAAAGUAGUUAAACAUGAAGAGUUCAAGCUACACACUACACACUAAUCUCUCUCUGUGUGUGUGAUUUUAUAUAUGUAAUGAUUUUUCUUUGAUUACACCCACUAUUCACCAGGUUGUCAUUGAUAUGUAAAGCAUUAAAGGCCUCUUUAAAUGUUUUGACUCAGGUCUGCUACAGGAGUUCAUUUGUCUGUUUAUUCAGACCAGCUGGAAGAGAAUCAGAGAGGAGAGGAAAUUCCUGGGAGUUCAUGUGUUCCAUUAAAAUUAAUAAAUUAUCUUCAGAUUAAAUGUUUGGAUCUGUCUCUUUAGCCUUCUCUUCUUCAUCUCCCUUUUCAAGUUAACUAAAGCAAGAUUAAUACUAAGUACUGCAGUCUCCUGUGCUCUAUGAUGCAGCAACAGAAAACAAACAUUUCUCUAUUUCCUCCUUUUUCAACUCUGAGCUUGCACAUAUUCGACACUCGGUUCUUCAUACUAAAACUGAGAAUCAAUUCAGAUUAGUUUCUUGCCAAGUCAGCAUGCUUUCUUAAUUAAGCGCACAUUUAAGUGGUUUGUUUCCUCACUGAAAACAAAUGGCAGCGUCGCUUCACCGAACCUCUCAAAAAGCAUUUGUUGUGGUGGAAUCGUGAUCCUCAGUCUCACAGGAACCCCACUGAACAUUACUGAUGUUGCAGAAAAUGUGUCUGCAAAUGGUGAUUUUCUUUGUAUUGGUUGAGUUGAAUCUAAAGCUUUUCUAAACGAGAAGUUAUGUGGCUAAGAGAAGUGCACAUAUUUCUGUCCCCUAACCUUGAUCCUAAACAUUACAAAUAUCGGCCAUAGAAUAAAGUUUUAGUGUGUAAAUGUUCAAACUUGUAAUACUAUUAUUGGUGUAAAUGGAGUGAAUGAAGUAUUAGCAGCACCUUUCAAUGUGCAACAGAAUUUACCAUCACCUCAAACUACGAACUUCAAAAUGAUGAUGUAGUCGAAUGAACACUACCACUGUAUGACACUGCAUUAUUUUUAGAUGGAUGUACCUCACACAGAUGUACACACAAGAUAUACGCUCAUAAAUUUCAUGGUUUGAUGUUGAAGAUGUUUCUUUACGAUUUAGUAAAGAAAGACAAAAAAAAAGCACAAAGGCUGUGAAGUGCAUUUAGAAUUUCCUCUACGUCAUACUGUAGAUGUGUAUGUACAUACUCCGAAGAAAACAUACUGACUUCUCCAACACAUCUGGACAAGCAAAUAUUUGAAACUGUGCCUAAAAAGUGAUUAAAGAAAUGACACAUAAUUGGACAUUUUCAAGCCAAACCCCCCCCCAAAAAACUUCAUAACCUGAUCUGCAGGUAACUGCAACUGUUGGUGACAAAGUGCAUCUACAAUCAGAAGGAGAUGGCGCAAAUUUUAACAGCAUUGAAGGCGUGUCAAGAAAACAUGAACAAAGAACUGUAGUGACUUGCAUUAUCAUACACUCAAAAGGCAGCCUUUUGGAAUAAUGUGCUGUGGACUGAUAAAUCCAAGAAAGAGCUGUGUGUUCACAAUGACAGCAGAGAUGUUUCAUGCAGACCAAAGGCCGGUCCUUAGAGAAGAACCUCUGACAAACUGUGAAGCAUUGAUGUGGAAAUGUAAGAGUUUCCUUCACUGCCUCAGGGACUGGGCUGCUUGCAGUCACUGAAUUCUGGAUCAUACCAAGAAGUGCUUGAAGAUAAUGUGAGGACAUCUGAACCUUUCAGCAUGCAGGAUAAUUAUACACAAACAAAUCCAAAAAGGAAUAACUCAGAAAGAAGAAAUGAAGUGUUGUCAAAAUCCCCAAAGUGCUAGCUCAUAUAUUUCAGCAAGAUGAUGUCAGGGACUGGUGGACAGUUACGCAAGAUGUCUACAAGCAGCUUUGCUGCUAAAUGGUGUACUGCCUUUUUUCUGAAAAAAUCUGCCAAUAGAACAAGUGAAAAAUGGCUUGGUAAGAUUUCUUGAAAUAAGAUAAGAUAUUUAGAAUAUUGAGAUCUUAAAAUUAGCUGGGAAAACUUAUUUUAAACUAUAUUUUUACCAGGAUUGUCAAGCUUAGGUGUCUUAAAAUAAGCCAGACAUGCAAAAAAAAAAAAAAAAAAAAAAAAGAAGAAGCAGUUUUUCACUCAAAAAUAGAUUUUUGCUUACAUAUAACUUCCUAAUUUGAGAUGUAUUAAACUUAUUUUGAGUUUUCUUGUAAAAUUCAACUCAAAACAAGAUAAUUUCAAGAUUGUUUGACUUAACAAGAUAUUUAAGAUGCAUUGUCUUAAAGCAAGUCCUUCCAUCUGCUGAAAUGUCUCUUGUUAAGUAAAUUUAUCUUAAAUUGAGUGGGAUGAGACAUUUUGACUAAAAAUAAGACAAAUAGACUUGGUAGGAUUUGGAGUUUUUGCAGUGCAACAGUUUCCACACAGGAGACUGUGGUUCACUAAACAUCUAGUUUAUUACACAGCAAACAGAUCUUACAUUAACUCAAGAGGCUGUAUUUUAAGACUAGCGAAUAUCUACACUUUUAUGUAACAUGUAUUGCACAAAGCGAACCAAACUCUUUUCUAGAACCGUUUCCUGCUGUAACUAACAGCUGAGAGGUCAAGGCUGCACCACCUGCAGGGUCAGUAUUUCUGGGUAGUUUUAAAAAAGGAUCAAAGACGAGGAGGGUUUCUGUGUUGCUCCGAAUGAUCAGGAAAAAACAACAUUCCACUAUUUUUAUCUUUGAAAACAAAGUGGAGAGGCAGCACAGGCCGGAUGACAGCACCGUUUACUUGGAAAAAUGCUAAAAGAAACAUCAAUCUGACAAACCUGUCAGCUCUCAAACUCCCUGACCAUCAUCUGAUUCCAUCAGCUACUCUGCUGGAAAAACAAUAAACCUCCCCCAAAUUAGAUUGAACACGGUAAAUUGGCAACAUUACAGCAGUGGCCCCUAAAAUUAGGACAAUUUUGGAGAAACGGUUAGAGCUAAAAUUACUGAAGGACAACAAUGAACUUGCCAUUUGUGUCUCAACAGUUUUAUUUUGAUUUAUGGGCUUUGUGCCACUCAGGACCUUGGAGAUGAAGAGAUUUCUCAUGUUUCACAGGAUGGAAUAAAGAUCAUUAAAGACCGGUGUCAAGGAAAGUUUCUCUUGACAAGAAAUACAAACUGCUUGUGGACAAAAUUAGUCUUGAAUAAAUAGUUUGGCAUUUAUGCUCUGAAGUUGGGUUUUGUUCCCACCAGACAGAGCCAGGUAGCUGUUAAACACUGUUUUAAGAUAAACUGAGCCAAACUAAGCUGCUGACUAUAGCUUCAUAUUUAACAGACAGACAUUGGAUUGGAUUUUCUCAUCAUCAAAAAAGCUACAGUAUACAUUUUUAUUUUUAAAAAAAUUAGGUCAUGGACAUUUCUAUAGAGCCAUAUUUUUUAAUGCAAAUGUAAACAUGCCAGUGUUAUUCCCAAUACACACAAAACAGACUCCUCACAACAGCUUUGACUUAUUAGUGUUUCUGAAGAAGAGACACACAAUGAGAAGAAGAUGGGAGAAAGGAACAGUGAUGACAAUUUUUUGUUUCAUCUUCUAUAUCCUGCCAUCUUUUAUCUGCACAUCGAUUGGUUAAAGAUGGGAUCAUGAUGAAAGAUGAAGCAAGACAGGAAAUAAAGAACUUUAUUAAUGUUUGUGAAAGUUUUUAUGAAGAAGCGAAGAAAGAUAAAGAUUUAAAUAAGUACUGUAUGUAAUCAGAGACAGGAAAAUGGAAAGAGGGAUGAGAAACACAAAUCAGACAUGUUGUUGGCCCGUCCUGUGCUGCGAGAUGAAGAUGAUGAUGUAAAUAUCAUGUUGUCUAAAGCUCAACACUGUCUUUAAUUAACACUCGGUAACUUAGAAGAACAAAUUAAAUACAUGCUCUUAGAAAAAAAAUGCUAAUUUCAUAAAAUUCCAACAAACAAAUCUUUAAGUAUCCAGACCCUUUGCUGUGUGGUCUGGUGCAUCCUGUUGUGUUGGACACAUUUGGAAGCAAUCAGGUUCUAGAUGUGUUUAGAAUUUGGUUGAAGUCCACCUGUGUCACACAGUGCAUGUCAAGAGGAAAACAUACAGUCUAUGGAAGAAAACUAAGCCAUGAAAUCCAGGAACUCUCUGUAGACUCCCACAAUAAAACUGUAGUGAAGUAUACAGUGGAUCAGGGCAAGGGAAUGAAGCCAUUUUUAAAGCUUUGAUUGUUCCAGGAGAUCAGCAGCCUCAGUAAUUUGCUUUAAUGCUAUAUUUACAGGAUCAAAAUAGAACAUCUGAGUUUAGAUCAAAUCUGUACUGUUGCUACUGUUGUUGCUCAUUACUGAGUGCUGUCCACUGUCAUUCCAUGGAAGCUGUCAAAAUGUAUUUGAGGAAAUGUAGUAACUAGUGAACAUAGAACAAGGUCCACAGAGCUGUAAUUCAGGCAACCAGCUCAAAUGAUUCUGUGCUCUGGAUGAGCUGAUGUUUUAGGCCUCUGUGAUUCUCACCCCACCAUGGCUCUGUGCUGGUAAUAAGGCUGGAUUAGAUCAUGUGAAACAGAGAUACUAUAGAGCCAUAAGUCACAAAUAUGAGCUAAAAAGUGCAACAUUUUUUUCAAAUGACUCCUCCUGGAAUGCUUUGAAGGUCACACAUUGAUAUCAGAGUACGAGUAUCUGAGGUUUUGAUACAAAUAAAAACAGUAUCAUCAUCUGUACAACAGUAGUUUCCUUUGUGCAGUGCAGAUGAAAAAAGCUCCACACACUGACAGUAGAUGAAUGUAAUCUGUCACUAUCUCCUGCUCUGUUUUUUUUUUUUUUUAACUUCUGCACAGAAAUGUGUAAAUAAAUUGCAGCCUCGGGGCAUGACGGUAGGUCAGGUUCCUUUUAUCUUUGCACUGGAAUGAAACAAGUAUGCUUUUUCCCCACAUGCAGUGCUAGAUGGAAAGACCACCAAUGUUGUUUAACUUGGAUUCCUCUCAAUAUGUCAGAAACUGUAGCAAAAUACGCUACAACAUGCACACUGACACAUUCAUGUUUGUUUCUUCAGUAAAAAUCCACUGGAUUUCACUAUGGUUUGUUUCACAAGCUGCACAAGAUUUUCAGAUUUUUGUGUGUUGUUCACUGAAAAAUAUACAGUGACAGGAGAACAAUACAUGCAAAAGGGAGAGAUCCACAUUUGUUGAAAAGAUGUUUUUACUGGUAAAUCUACCUUGGAUGGAACAGUGUGGUGAAACCAGAUGGUGCUGAUUUUUCCUUUUAUUUACCAGACUGUGCACAUUUAUCUAAACAAUUACUUACUCAAAGCUGCAUAAUAAAAACUUUCAUAAACAGCUGAGAAGCAUAUGCUCAACUCAUUUGCUAAAUGGCUUGCACAGCACGGUCACAUUCGUUGCUUGCAGGUACAUAUAAAUAGAAACAUGCAUAUAUCUCUAUAAACAAUGCUAAUGAAAGUGUGUAUUGUAAAUAAUGGAAACACGUGGAGCUAAUGCAUAAAUGUGUGGCCAAACACUUUAUCAUACAAAACUCAGUGAACGUCCUCAAGACUUCUCAUGUUUUGCAUCCAUUCAUUGAUCCCUAACCCUUUACUUUUCACCUUUAUCACUGUUGCCGUUCUUAUUGUCAUUUUCCUUCUUUUUCUUGCACUAAGCUCAAUGUCAGGACAAAUGUUCCAAAGAAUUUGAGUGAACUGGUCUAAAGACUCUAAAUAGUUUAAUUUAAAAUUAGCUAAAGUGCCACAGUUUAGGCUGUGGGCUGUGGCAGUGCUCUCUCCUCCUCCAGCCCUGCUCUCUCUCUUUUCCAGGUGUGUGCCAUUCUGAAGCCGAGGCAGGUGUGGCGCAUCUGCUAAUCAGCAGGUGGAAGUCAGCGAAUCAGUCAUUCCGGCUCUCCUUUUAAAACCAGACUCUUCUCGUCGUGUGAUGCGAGAUUGUCUUUGAGCCUCCAGUUAGUUCUGUGAGCCGAACGUUCCCGUUAGUGAUGGGAGUAUCGAUACCAUGGUCAAUUCUAGAUAUUUUUAGGUGACUUACUCCAGUGGUCUGUGCCGAAACACCCCCCAGCCCGCAGCAUAUUGAACUGGUCCAUAAGUCACGUGACCAGAAGAGCCGCCAGUUGUGUGUGUUUACCCUGUUAGCAACAACACGGCACGGCAUGAACAAGUGAAUUUGAAAAAACGGAGAAAUGCCCAACAAAAAGAAGCGUUGUAUGGACAUAUUUUUCGCCAACUGAUAAAACUUCAGCCAGGUGUGAAGUGUGUCACAAGAGAGUUCAACACAGCAGCAACACGAGCAAUGUGUUCAAACACCUGAAGUGUGUGCAUCCAGAGGCUCAUGCCGAAGCUGAGGAAAGGCAAGAAGACGCAGAGCAGAAUGCGACACCUGCACCCACCAGGCAAACAACUUUGAAAGAAAGUUUUAUUAAAAAAGGCAGAGUCUAUCCAGAUGACUCACAUAGAGCCCAGGAGAUCACCAGGAGCCUUGCUCAGAUGAUUGCAAAAGACUUGCAACCCAUUUCAAUUGUUGAGGAUCCAGGUUUCCGUCAUUUUAUGAAGAUGGUGGAUCCCCAGUACCAGAUCCCAAGUAGGAAUUCACUGGUGACAGGUGUACUUUCAAAACUAUAUGCGCAAGUAUGAGAAACAUUGAAAGACUCCAUACAGUCAGCGAGCAGUCUGGCUUUAACAUGUGAUAUGUGGACUGCAAGAACAACUGAAUCUUAUUUGACUGUAACAGGACACUUUAUUGACAAGGACUGGCAGAUGCAGUCCUGCAAUCUUGCAACAAUCCAUGUAGCUGUACAGCACACAGCAGACAUUUCUGAGCUCCUCGUGAAAAUCACUGAUGACUGGGACAUUACUAGUAAAGUUCAUACUGUUGUGCAGACAGAGGGGCUAAUAUGGUGUCUGCUGUGCGGAAAACUUACUCGAAGCACAUUCCAUGUUUUGCACACACACUCAACCUCAUUGUAAAGGCAGACACAAUUAUUACACUAUUGUUCGGUUCUUCCACCACAGCACCAAAGCAACUGACAAACUGAAAGAGGUACAACGUCAGCUGCAGUUGCCACAGCACACACUAAUGCAAGCAGUGGAUACACAGUGGAAUUCUGUGCUGUACAUGCUGGAGAGACUGUAUGAACAGCAACAAGCCAUCACAACUGCACUUUGUCUACUUGGAAGAAACAGCUUGUGCCUGAAUGGGGAAGAGUGGUCCCACAUUACCCAGGCCAUUGAAGCACUAAGACCUUUUGAAGAGGCCACUAAGGAGGUUUCAGCAGAGCAGUAUGUAACUAUUUCCAAAGUCAUCCCACUGGUCUGUCUUCUUCAACGUUCUGCAGGGCAGAAGGAUAACACUCUGGCUUCACAACUUGCAGCACAAUGCCAGCGGCGCUUUCAAAACAUUGAACACAACCACACUCUUGCAGCAAGCACCUUUUUGGACAUCAGGUUCAAAAACAUUGCCUUCUGUGACAUCGGAAAUGUGGAAAAAAUUAAAUCACAAAUCAUCAGUGAUAUGCAAGGCAUGGCUGCAGUGAGAGAGAGAUGUCCAGCAGUGAAGCCUCAACAUCUGCAUCUGUUACUGCAUCAACAUCAGCAGAGUGUUCAGCUUCCCAGGGAGGAUUGUGGCAGGAGUUUGACACUUGGGUUUUGGCUUCUCAGAGCAAUCGCACAGCAAACACAGAUACAUACAUUGAAAUGCGCAGAUACAUGGAAGAAAAAGUGAUCCCAAGGAAUGAGGACACUUUGCUUUGGUGGAAAAAAAAAUGAGAGCAUUUCCACAACUGAGCAAAGUUAGCAAAGAGAUACCUUGGAACUGUUGCUACAUGUUCCAGCAGAAAGGCUGUUUUCUAAGGCAGGAGAGACAGUUAGCCAGCAGCGCAAUCGCCUCAAACCUGAGAAUGUUAAUAUGUUGCUGUUCAUAAACACCAAUCUGAAGCUGUAAAGACAGUGUGCACUUUUUUUUUUUUUUUUUACAAUUUUAUUUAAUUCAUAUUUAUGUUAUUUAUUAUAUCGUAUUGAUGACAAACAUUUUUGUCAGGAUCAUUUUGUGAAAAUAAUGCUGCUCAGCCAAAAUUCAGAGUAAGUUCAAAUAUGUUUUGUUUUAUUUAAUUCUUCUUUAUUUUAAUUAUUUGUUUAACUUUUGUAUUUUGAACCGUGCACAUUAAAGUUGUUACAUGGCCAGUAUUUGACGUUAUUUGUUUUUAGGAGAGCUAAUAAUAUGAUUGAGAAAAAAAAUUCACCAAUAAGAAAUUACCAGUAAAAGUGUGGUAUCGCCCAUCACUAGUUCCUGUGCCACUUACCUGGUUCCUUCAGUAAUUCUGUUUUCUUGUGUUUAGAGCUGACUUCUGCCUGCUUGUGGUUUCCUGAUCCUCCUGGUUGCAUUGUCGGAUACCUGGUUCUUUGCUUCGUGUCUGUUACCACAGUUGGUUAUCUAAGUCGGGUUGUGGAGUUUAGUCUGGGCUUUCUGUACAGAAUUACUGUUGACUAGGUUUUUGGGGUUUUUUGCCCCCCCGUCAAGUAGUUUUCCUGCCCUGGUUGUACCUUAAGCAGGUUAACAGUAUUUGUUUUUCUAAUUCUUGUAGUUAGGCUUCCUAGCUCUACUCCGCCUUGAGCAGUUUAGGUAGUACUUCCGUUUCUGGAAUCAUUUCAGGUUCUAAAUUGUAGUCCUUGUAGUAUUUUUUUGUAAAUAAAACUUUGUUAAAUUGUUCAAUCAUCUGCAUUUCUCAUUUCCUGCUUCUGAGCCUCUGUGCCCGCUGUAAUAUAAAGGGGAACAAAGUCUGUUCAAAUAUUUCCGAUUCGAGCCUUUAAUUUGCUGAAAUGUCUUAACAUUCUAUACUUUUGUAUAACCCCAUCAUAUGACAGCUGCAGGCCCACUAUCAUAAACUAAUUUAAUGACAUUAAACAAAAGGUCAAAAAUGUAAAAUCAACAAGGGUCUUCUCUCAUAAGACCAGUCAUCGUGAACCAGAAACAAUCUGUGUAUUCAUCCAGUAAAGCUGGACAUCAAAUAUCUUGUAAACUCAAUUGGAGGCAAACAUAUGACACACAUUAUGAAGUAUCAUUGUGUAGCCAUAAGUUGCUGCACACAACAGGUCAGCCUGAUAUUGUGAUAUUUUCCUACACCUAAUCAGACAGCAAUGCUCCCAGGCAGGAAUCAAACCCUGGACUCCUGGGUAAAAGUUGAGUCACACACCUAUGACUCAAUCCUCCCCUCUGACCUUCAAGUGGACUUUCUUUCAAACUGGAAGAUUGGAAGGUGCACAAACAAAAGGUACUUGAGAAGAUGGUCAAGAAACAGAACAUCCAGGGCCACCAUGUACAGACGUGUCCAGGAAAUGGGAUACAAGUGUCAAAUUCCUAUUGUCAAACCACUCCUGAACACCCAACAACAUCAGAAGUGUCUUACCUGGGCUAAGCAGAGAAAGAACUGGACCAUUGCUAAGUGGUUCAAAGUCCUUUUAUUUGGUGAAAGUAAAUUUUGCAUUUUAUUUGGAAAUCAAGAUCUCAGAGUCUGGAGGAAGAGUAAAGAGCUACAGCAUCGAAGUUGCUUGAAGUCCAGAUGUGGUUUUCACAGUCAGUGAUGAUUUGGGUGCCAUGUCUUCUCCUGGUGUUGGUCCACUAUAUAUAACCAAGUCCAAAAUCAAUGCAGCGAGUUGCCAGCAGAUUUUGGAGCACCACAUGGUUCCAUCUGCUGAAGAACUUUUCGGAGAUGCAGAUUUUGUCUUCCAGCAGGACCUGGCAUCUCCACACACUGCCAAAACCACUCAGAAAGUAGUUCACGGACCAUGGCAUUACAGUGCUAGGUUGACCAGCCAACUCACCAGAAUCCCAUAGGAAAAUCUAUGGUGUGUUGUCAGGAGAUGAAUGAGAUGAACCAGACUCAGAAAUAAAGAACAGCUGAAGGUGGCUAUCAAGGCAACCUGGACAUUCAUUACCCCCCGGCAGUGCUACCGGCUGACUGCCACCAUGACACACUGCAUUGCUGCAGUAAUUCCAGCAAAGGGAGUCCCGAUAAAGUAUGAACAGAGCAUACAUGAACAUGAUUUUCAGAGUUUGGAUAUUUCUGCAUAACAAAUCUUUUUUUUAAUUGAUAUUUGUCAAUUUGAAAUAUUCUAACAUUUUCAAAUUGAUUUUAGGGGAGGUUUAUGAGUUGUAAGCUGUCAGCAUUAAAGCUACAACAAAUAAAGGCUUGAAAUAUUUCAGUUAAUGUGUAAUGAGCCUAAAUUAUAUAUAAAAUUUUCACUUUAAAUAUUUAACUUUUCCACCACAUUCCAAUUAAAUGAGUAGCCUGUUUAUGUCCGUGUUUUCAGUCUUUAGACAAAAUUAUUCUACCCUUCUCCUGGCUGUAGCUUUUGAAGAAAAGGGUAUGAGAGUCAUUUCUCAUCUAAUGUUUAAUCUUCAAAAAACACAGAUAACUAUAGAGACAAUUAACUUUCAUAACCAUCUGAAUUGUUUGCAGAACUAUCCUUUUUGGGUCCUUCUUUGCCUAAAAAGGCAAGCAGAGCCUUUUGACAAUACGACCGAAACUGAUCAUACCUACAACGAACACAGAACACAAGCACUGGUGAGUCUUCAUAGCUUCAAUCUCUGCAUUUUGACCUUUUUCUCCUCUUUUUUUCAACCUUUUCACAUAUUAUUCUUUCCUCUGUUGUCUUUGUCACCGUCUCCCCAUUUAUCUCCCCAAUCUUCUUAAGUAAUCUCUGUCAACAAACCUGGUAUAUUUUUCUGACUCAGCUCCAUCUCUGCUCGGCUCUCUUUUGCUCUCUGUGUCCUGAGGUUGUUGAUGCUGCCUGGUAAUGGCUUGUCCAGACUGAGCAUUACUCUCAAUGUUCUGUGAAACCACUGGCCAAAGACAACAACGGGCUCUACAAGCUUCCCAAAUAAUGACUUUGAUCACUGCUAUGGCCAGUCCUAAUGGUUGCUAAAUACUCUGGUGUGGAAAAUUUUUGGCAUCAAACCGACACUUUGACCGACGCAGGAGCAGACAACCCGAUUCAUUCUGGAUGUGUUUGUGGUGCAGUGACCGUGUACUGGCCUUAUUUUUGUAAGUACCUCUUCUAGCACCGAAGUACUUCAUACAGUUAGAUGAAUUCAUACUUGGAAGCUCCCCAGUUCAACCACAGUCUUGGCCACUGAAACACCUUCUUGGAGAAACUGGGGGUUCAGAGGAACAUUCCACCACCGAACACUCUUGAAGAACGUAUAUCAGUGAUUCUAACAGCUACUUAGUAAAACUUUCCCUUUCUCACACCCACUUUCCAACAUGCCAUAUCUGUUUCCACUUUAAAGUUGUGAUUUCAUCUAUCUUCCAGAAAACCUUUGAACACAUUGGUGUGGAAACGCGUUGAAUUUUGCUGUUAAUUGCCAGUAAAUGGAAAGAGCAGUGACAGCUGCACUCAAACCAAAUGUUUGUGGUUAAAUUGUACUCUGAGCAUUCUGUGCUUUAAAAAAAAACUGCUGUACAAGUGAAACAUUCACUCUAAGUGAGAGUGCUUGUCAGAGUUACAAUUUGUAAAAGCACAAAUAUUGUCCAAUUCAGCCAACAGAAUAACGUUGGAGCAGAGUGGGUGAAAUGGGUUUCAAAUGUAAGAGCCUAUAAUCGCUCUGAAUGUUGGCCUUGGACAACUGAAGCUUGAUGGAAGAAGUGAUGUUUGCUUCAGAAAUCUCGACAUUUCUAAUGUGUGUGAUGUGAUUUGAGGCACAUGGAGGAAAAAAUAUAUAUUUUCUAGCAGAAUAUAAAGUGGUCAGUUGGUAAAGAUGCCUUUUAAAACCGAACUAGCCUACUGCACAUUGUCAGUGCGUCAGCGUUGCAACAGAAAGCAUCCAGUCCACAGAACUGACCCGUGAAAUACACGAGCAUAUGAUUUAAUCCAUGUGAUUGCUAGAUCAUAUCAAAUAGCCUACUGGUAUUCUGAAUAACCAAUAGACUACUGCAUUACUGAAAUAUACAAUAGCUGUAGUCCUACUAGUUGUCAGAGUUAGAAUAGCUGCCUACCCUGUUGAUGGAAAUGGUAAGAUUGAAUAAAACCAAAAAAAAAAAAAAAAAUGAAAUGAAAGAUGUGAAAAUGUUCCGUGGAGCUGAGGGAAACUGCAGAACGGGUGAUAAUUCUUGAUGGAUUUGUCACUAAAAAAAAUCCUGUGUACACAAAUAGAAUUAUUUUAUUAAUCAUUGAUAUAUAAAUAUGAAUCAGUGCUGCUCUAAGUGUUCCACCCAGUGACAACCUGGUGGUGCAGUAUUCUGUAAGUAACAAGCCCUUCAAUUUUAUUUGUCUACUUUACUUCUGAGCUGAAAACUGUUAAUCAGAAGUAUGUAUUUGUUGGAUGAGAAGAGUAUCAGAGACAUGUGGUGGUCAGGUUUGAAUAGAACACAGUGUGAAAUGGUUAAGCAACUCUCAGCUAGAGGUGGACAUCUUGAGCCAGAACUGGACAUAUGUGAGUAGUUAAAUUGUUUCUGGCAGCUCUUUGAGUGCAGUGUCUGAAAACAAAACAGCAGAGCAGCGAAUGAAAGACUUCAUAAAAACAUGCUGAGUAAGUCCAAGAAGCACUGGGUUGUAAAAGAUGUGAAAUGAAAAGGGGAUUGAAUGGCUGAAGUGCAAACUGAGAAGUGAGAGAUUCUUUUUUUAAAUUAUUUACCCUGGAAUUUGACUGCUUCUACAGGGAUUAUCUGCUUUAAUAACAUCAGCAAAGCAGGGAGGUGAUGGUGACGCUUUCUCUACAUAAUACCCCCUUUUUCUCCUCUCCCGUUCGUCUCUCUUGAGUCCUGCUCCAAAAGGCUACACCCAGUGAGUCUGUCUUAUCCUCCACUCUCAACCAUCAUUCCUCUAACAUUCAGCACAUUUUCACCCCAAAUCCAACCUCUGCAUCUAUAAACCCUUCAAACGCAGUCAUCACGGUUUUCAGUCAUUCUCAGUCACUGGUGAUGGUUUAUUCAGUAGUGAAGUUGCAGGACUUUCUAUUCAGUGCUGCCAGAGUGAAAUAUUGCACAGCUAGCUGUUUAUCAGGCCACUGAGCCAUCUCCUGCUGACAAAGAUGGUGAGAAUCACCAACCCAACCUCCAUGAGAAAACUCAGCAGUCAAGAAUUAAGGCUAACAGGGGAGGCAACUUGUUAUUCCCACUCUCCCAUUUCACCAAUAAUCCCUACCAUAGCAUUCCCAUUUCACAGCACACUAUUUUCUCUUUAUUGACCUGGGAAAGUUUGCAGGGGCGUUACGCAAAGAUUCAGUAGUCUCCACAAAGGAGCAAGCUAUGUAAAAGCUGGAACAAAGUCCCAUAAUGUGCAGUGGGGGUCGUCAUUGUGUGUUUUACUCUUCUCAGCAGCAACAUAUAGGUCCAAUAUUUAAAUCGGGGUAAAAUGGAAUAGUACCACAUCUAUUUGGUUAUCUAUCACAUUAUGGGGAAUCAUCUCACACAUGAAGACAUGCUUUUCCCUACAAAGUUAUCUUUUUAUUUUAAAGCUAAAGGUUGAUUUUGACAUUUUGGAUGAUACCUCAGAAUCCUUUAUUUCAUACAACAUGGCUAAAUGCUGCUGAAUAGAAUGACAAAUGUUAGCAGCUUGUCUAUGACACAACACAAACACAAUGUCUUGCAUAACAGUCAAAUGCACAUACUUUUUUGCUGCAUUAUGCAAAGGACACACUCAUUAAAGUGCUUGUGCUAAAUGUGCCCCAACCAGCCGCAACAGUGAAUGACACUGAUUACCUUGUUACACUGCAAUGCUCUGCUUGGAAACUUGGCAUUCAUGUGGAUGAUACUUUGACUUGUACCACCUAUAUUGUUGCAGACCACGUACCCAGUGAUGCAUCCUGUCACACCACAAAAACUGUCUGCUACAGCGAAAGGAACAUGACAAAAACCCAAAGAUGCUGACUUGCUCAAGUUGCACCAGAACAAACCUAAUCCAUGGAGGCUCCACAAACCACAGGACCCAAAGGAUCUGCUGCUAGACACCACAGAAAAUUCUGAGAUGUGCCAUGUCCAUCUCCAGGCAGGUGGUUUUAAUGUUGUGGCUGGUAGGUGUAAAUGGCACUAGUGUAGGCCUCCAGGGAAUGAAUGUAAGACGGAACAACAAGUAUAGCAGUACAUCCCUUAUAAUAACACUUGAACUCAUAUUUGUUUGUAUUAAAUAUUGUUUGGGUUGGUACAGUGUCGCCUCACAGCUCGAAUUCACCAUCCUCCUUAGUUUGCAUCCCAGCCUGGGAUCUUUCUGCAUGGAGUUUGCAUGUUCUCCCUGUGCAUUAUGGGUUCUCACCGGGUUCUCCAGCUUCCUCCCACAGACCAAAGACUUGCUGACUUUAACUGAUAAUUCUAAAUUGUCUGUCCAGGAUGUCCCCUGACUUCACCCUCAGUCAGCUGGGAUAGACUCCAGCCCCCCAUGACCCUACAGAGGAUAAAGUUGUGUGUAGACGAUGGUUUGGAUGAAAAUGUUGUUUGGAAUUCUACUAUAGUUUGAUACAUUAGGGCUCAAUGUCUCUUCAGAAAACAGAUGAAAAACAUGAUAAACGAUUCCUACAAAGUGCAAUAACCCAUCACAGAAAUUUUCACAAAUGAUCAUGCUUUAUUUCACCCUAGAGUCAUGACUGUUAAGCACACCACACCCCUGCAUGAUCACUCAGCUAACAAAACAGUUACUUUUCCAUCUACAUAUUCACAUCUUUCCUUUACAGUAAUUUGAGUUGGAAAUCAACCAGCAAUCUUGCAGGAUUUCGGGUAUGGAACUUUGAAUACACUGCUAAAAGCCAUCAUGGCCUUUUUCUUCCUUGCAGACCUUUCUCAUGAAAUGCUAUAUUUCUAUGUCUUCUUUUAGUCUUUUCUGGAAUAAAGCACCAAGUCAAAGUUGUGCUCCUGAUCGUGUGCGGUUUGUUUUCCAAUUUACUCCCAUCUGAUGAGGUCAUCACUGUGCGUCAGGUUGGCGGUGCGCUGGGUGCCGUCCCGCAGCUGUGCAGCAUCAGGCUGGAAAUCCCCUCAUGAAAGCUGAUUCCUGCCUGCUGAGUUGCCUUGGUUCCUUCGUCUGCUGGUUUUCCGCCCAACCACGGAUUCUGCCUUCUUCUCCGGAGGAUCUCCACCUGACGCCAGCUUAACCUGGGAACAUCAACGUACACCUGGAAAGAGGACUUUCUCUGGAAACAUCUGCCACGACCGGGUUCUACUGACACCAACUUACCAAGCACAUGGUGAACACCAGGAGGGAGAGUUCUGGAUGAAGCCAAACCAAAAGGACUGUUCUCAGCUCAUCAGCUAAGUCUCCAAGCCCUAGUAUCACCAGACUCUUUGUAUUGUUAAUACGUCAAAUUAAAUAAUCAGCGUUCCGUAUUUAACUUAAUGUAUUUUAUGCUCUGCAUAGGAUAGCUUUAGUCUGGGGUUUCAGUUCAUAAUUACUGGUAGUCUAGGCUGGGUUAGUUUGGUAUUUUCAGUUGUUUCUUGGUGUUUCCAUACGUGGGUUAACCUUAGUUUCAGUCUCCAUGUUCAUGUAGUUAUUCCUCCGUACCUCUAGAUGGGUUUUGUUUUUGAGUUCUAGUAGUAGUUUAGUUCUUCUUUGUCUAAGAUUCUAGUUCCGGUUCCUGUAUAGAGUUUCUUGUUGUGAAUAAAAGCAUUUUUAAAACGUUCACGCUGGAGUUAUUUCAUUUCCUGCUCCUGAGCCUUUUGAACCUGCCGUAACGCUCUUUCACUCAUGCAACGUUGUUAAAAUUAGGCACAUCCUGUCACUAAUGCUGAAGAACUAGUCCAAAGAAAGAGCUAUUCUCCGCUCCACUGUUGGAUUUUCUUAUUACCAGGAUAUCCCAACAACUCCACGAAAAGCCUCCACUGAAAGUACUGACAGCGACCAGCAAAAGAGAUCCUCUGUAUUACCUUCUCUUUAUUGGCUCCCUGUAGGAAUAUAAAUUUCUUCUCCUCACCUAUAAAACUCUUACCAACUAAGCUCUAUUUUACCUUAGAGACUUGAGAAUAACUUUUUAUCUCAAUAGAACAAUUCAUUCUCUGUUCCUCGAGUUUCCAAAAGCAGAAGGAGUGUUAAGUCCUUCAGCGAUCAGACUAUUCUGCUGUAGAACCUGCAUCCAGUUUGGGAGACUAGGUUUACAAAAAAAAAACAAACAAAAAAACAGUAAAUCAAGCUUAUUUAACCUUUCUGCAUUUAUCUCUGGGUCAUGAGCUAGAAUUCUACAAUUUCAUUUAGCAGAUGCUUUUAUCCAAAGCAACAUACAGCUGAGAGUAGAUACAACAAAAGCAAGGAUCUAGUCAGGAGAAAACAGCCUGGAUAAGAGCCAGAAAACCAGUUCAAGUGUGAUAAUAACAGAGCUGCACAUUCCAGCUCUGUGGUUUAUUAACUAUGUAAAGUGAACUUGGAUGACACACUGCUUUGAUUUGUCACUGUAUAGAUGAAACUGACUUGAACUGAAAGUGAAAUAGCCCAGAGAUGCGAGUUUAAUAGACACUAAAAUAAGCACAUACUGUAUAUGCUGGAAACAAAUGUUUUUGGAAAUGUGGAUUUUAAAUGUUGGUUUAUGGUGCGAUACCAUGAUGGAGGCUUCUGACGGCUCCCAAAUAGAUUCUACAACCAUCUUCAGCAAGAACAAGGUGACCCCUACAGAGCCCUGAUCAUCAUUUAGUCAGCCUGGGAUUACUUGAAGAAACAGGAAACUCUAAGACGCUACAGGAAACUCUUCAAGGUGCUUUGGAAAAGUUAGUAAGCUGAAAAACUGUGUAUGCUAUUUAAAGUUGAAAUGUGUUCACACCAAAUAUGAACUUAAUUUUUUUUUGCAUGUAACUUCAGCAUUUAUGGCAUUAUUUGCAAAAGUAUCCUCACCUUACUUUUAUUGCCAUAACCUUUUGCACAGUGCUGCAUGUUCACUCCUACACUUUCAUGAAAAAGUUCUUCCAUAAUUCACAUGGUAACACAGAUACCUAACCCCUCCCCAUCGCAAUCUAAAUGUGGAGUUCAGGCUGAUUGAAUGGGUUUCAGUUGUGUUUGAAUUGGUUUAUUUACUUUCUCUUAUUUUAUUUAUCCGUUUAUUUUUGUUUUCAGGGCAGGGGUAACUUCCCACGAUCCGGCUGGGAUGGAACCAGCAGGGCUGAGAUCAGCAUCUGUCAGAGGGGUGGAGAGAGGAGGACACGUGUCGCUAAUGGUCGUCUCCUUUCACCCCGGAGUGAAAGUAGCAGUUCCUCCUGAAGGUCAGAGAUCGCAGCAUCUGAGGGCCUCUUCAAAAGAAGACGUAGUUGAUGAAGGCGUUCUGGAGCAGGACCAGAAAGACCACGACCAAGCAGCCUUGAGAUCUUAGGCAGCGUCUCCCUCAGGUCCCUCUCUAUCUCCCCACACAUCCACCAACCACUGGAACACAUCUCCAAAGUUCUGCUGGACCAGCUCAGCUUCCCCUCAGAAGAAGUGCCGCCACCUGCCAGAUGAAGGAGCCUUUUGAGAGGCAACUGGCAUCGUGAUUGGACUGUACUGUGGUCUGUUCCAAUCCAGCUUCAGCUCCAGAGACGGAAGGCGGGACGAGUCAACGGAGGCCGGGUGGACGAAGGCAUGAAGCUGAGUACAAUCCAGAAAACAACAGAGGAGGAGUGCAGCAGCCCAGGGCCAGAACAACCAGAGUAGCAUGGUAUGUCUCUUAGAAAACAUCAUAGUAUAGCCUUUGGUAUGAAAAAACGCCAUCAUAUACAUCGUAUAUUGUACAAAUAACAACUCAAAGGAAAGAGACAUACAUUGUAGAAUUGUAGUAAUUGUGGGCUGACUGAUUUACUGAUUAUCAGUAUUUUAUUUUUUACUGAUUUACGGUAAUAAAUACAUUUAAAAUGACGC
Molecule: long non-coding RNA, 21527 nt
Organism: Amphiprion ocellaris (clown anemonefish)
Lineage: Eukaryota; Metazoa; Chordata; Actinopteri; Pomacentridae
Exons: 5
Source: RefSeq, a predicted model, not a curated record